UGGUAAGUUUUCAUGUAAUUCAAUCCUUCAGUCAAACAACAUCCCGGAUGAGCUGUGGGUAUGAUAAUAUAUCAAAUAUAAUCACUUAUCAUUAUGUAUCUCAAUUAGAAAGUGAUGAUUCAAUUGAUGAUAUAUUAAAAAAAUUUUUAAUUAUCAUCCUACUUUGGCCAAAGACUUUCGAAUCAACAACCUAUGAGAUCACAUAGGAUGUUCUCUCCCCUUAUUAGGAGUGACUGAUCCCUUGUCGAUCACUCAUAAUCUUCAUGCACUCUUCACCACAUCCAAAACACCCCACACAAGGAUCAGAGAACUAAAUUAGAUAGUGAACCAAAAUAUAGAUUCAAGUACAUAAGGUACCAUGGUGACCUCAGGUCUAAAGAUCACUUAUACAACUCCCACUAGAGAAUCAUCAGUUGACAUGUAAAUAAGACUCCAUCUGAUAUUCUCUCGUAGGUCAAUUUAGAGAACUCUUUCUCUAAUGAGCACCCAUAUUCUUGUAUUAGUAUCACUAUACAAGUGGUUAUGAGAUCAACCAUCCUCAUUUCUAAGCAUACAUAGGAUAUGUCAGUCUUUCCAGUAUCAUUGAUCUCUGACUCAAUGUACCAAUGAUUAAAAAUAUUUUAGGUUAGAACUAUCAAGAAAUUAAAUCUCACUGGUGUGAUCUUAUUACGACACUAAAAUCAUUGUCCAGACCUAUGGAGUUCAAUAUAAUCUUAAAAUAAAUAAGAUACAGUAUAUAAUGAAUCAAAAAUAUCUUAUUUUAUUAAUAAUAAAUAUUAAUUUAUAAGUCUGAAAGAUAAAUUAUAAUAAAUAUCCUAUCGCAUUUCAUAUGCGAUUGGCUUGUAGGAUAUUAUUCUUUCACUUAUUAACUGUCAUUCACCUGCUAAAUAGGGUUCCAUCAAAAUCUAUUCCUACCACACCAUAUGAGAUAUGGUAUAGUAAGAAGCUGAGUCUAAGUUAUCUUAAGACUUGAGAAUGUCCGGUCUAUGUCAAAAGAUAAAUGGCUGAUAAAUUAAAGGAUAGAUCUGUAAUAGCUCAUUUUAUAGGGUAUCCAAAAGAAUCAAUGGGAUACUACUACUUUUCACAAAACCACAAUGUGAUUAUGAAUCAGAAUACCAUAUUCUUAAAAAAAUAGUUUAUCCAGAGUGGUGGCAGUGGGAGGUUAGUUGAGCUCGAAGAGGUCUCUGAAGAGCAAAGAGCUAUAGAUCCUCAGGAGCC
This 1218-nucleotide long non-coding RNA is filed under the name Elaeis guineensis (African oil palm). RNAcentral describes it as "long non-coding RNA (EGUI_LNC061896)". Lineage: Eukaryota; Viridiplantae; Streptophyta; Magnoliopsida; Arecales; Arecaceae. The record is from RNAcentral.